RNAcentral lists this ribosomal RNA (211 nucleotides) under Clostridioides difficile. RNAcentral's name for it is "partial 23S ribosomal RNA". It matches the Rfam family "Bacterial large subunit ribosomal RNA", at positions 730 to 941 of the family's 2925-position model. The record is from RNAcentral. Lineage: Bacteria; Bacillati; Bacillota; Clostridia; Peptostreptococcales; Peptostreptococcaceae.
CUACCCAUGAGCAGGAUGAAGCGAAAGUAAAAUUUCGUGGAGGUCCGAACCCACGAGCGUUGAAAAGCUCGGGGAUGACUUGUUGGUAGCGGUGAAAUUCCAAUCGAGCCCGGAUAUAGCUGGUUCUCCCCGAAAUAGCUUUAGGGCUAGCCUCAAGGUGAGAGAUACGGAGGUAGAGCACUGAAUGUCCUAGGGGGUAUUGCACCUACCG